Molecule: ribosomal RNA, 497 nt
Filed under: uncultured bacterium
Lineage: Bacteria
Description: partial 16S ribosomal RNA
Rfam family: Bacterial small subunit ribosomal RNA
Source: RNAcentral
GAUGAACGCUGGCGGCGUGCCUAAUACAUGCAAGUCGAGCGAACAGACGAGGAGCUUGCUCCUCUGACGUUAGCGGCGGACGGGUGAGUAACACGUGGAUAACCUACCUAUAAGACUGGGAUAACUUCGGGAAACCGGAGCUAAUACCGGAUAACAUGUUGAACCGCAUGGUUCAACAGAGAAAGACGGUCUGGCUGUCACUUAUCGAUGGAUCCGCGCCGCAUUAGCGAGUUGGUAAGGUAACGACUUACCAAGGCAACGAUGCGUAGCCGACCUGAGAGGGUGAUCGGCCACACUGGAACUGAGACACGGUCCAGACUCCUACGGGAGGCAGCAGUAGGGAAUCUUCCGCAAUGGGCGAAAGCCUGACGGAGCAACGCCGCGUGAGUGAAGAAGGUCUUCGGAUCGUAAAACUCUGUUAUUAGGGAAGAACAAAUGUGUAAGUAACUAUGCACGUCUUGACGGUACCUAAUCAGAAAGCCACGGCUAACUACGUG